UACGGAGGAUGCGAGCGUUAUCCGGAUUUAUUGGGUUUAAAGGGUGCGUAGGCGGAUUUUUAAGUCAGCGGUAAAAUGUCCGGGCUCAACCCGGGCCGGCCGUUGAAACUGGGGAUCUUGAGUGGGCGAGAAGUAUGCGGAAUGCGUGGUGUAGCGGUGAAAUGCAUAGAUAUCACGCAGAACUCCGAUUGCGAAGGCAGCAUACCGGCGCCCGACUGACGCUGAGGCACGAAAGCGUGGGGAGCAAACAGG
Molecule: ribosomal RNA, 252 nt
Filed under: uncultured bacterium
Lineage: Bacteria
Description: partial 16S ribosomal RNA
Rfam family: Bacterial small subunit ribosomal RNA
Source: RNAcentral